Molecule: ribosomal RNA, 499 nt
Filed under: uncultured bacterium
Lineage: Bacteria
Description: partial 16S ribosomal RNA
Rfam family: Bacterial small subunit ribosomal RNA
Source: RNAcentral
GACGAACGCUGGCGGCGUGCCUAAUACAUGCAAGUCGAGCGGAUCGAACAGGAGCUUGCUCUUGUUCGGUUAGCGGCGGACGGGUGAGUAACACGUGGGUAACCUGCCCGUAAGACCGGGAUAACUCCGGGAAACCGGAGCUAAUACCGGAUAACACCGAAGACCGCAUGGUCUUUGGUUGAAAGGCGGCUUCGGCUGCCACUUACGGAUGGGCCCGCGGCGCAUUAGCUAGUUGGUGAGGUAACGGCUCACCAAGGCGACGAUGCGUAGCCGGCCUGAGAGGGUGACCGGCCACACUGGGACUGAGACACGGCCCAGACUCCUACGGGAGGCAGCAGUAGGGAAUCUUCCGCAAUGGACGAAAGUCUGACGGAGCGACGCCGCGUGAGCGAAGAAGGUCUUCGGAUCGUAAAGCUCUGUUGUUAGGGAAGAAGAAGCGUCGUUCGAACAGGGCGGCGCGGUGACGGUACCUAACGAGAAAGCCCCGGCUAACUACGUG